This is a long non-coding RNA of Oncorhynchus tshawytscha (Chinook salmon), 2392 nucleotides long. The record is from Ensembl. Lineage: Eukaryota; Metazoa; Chordata; Actinopteri; Salmoniformes; Salmonidae.
UGGAACUUUAUGCAAAUACUCAGCGACAUCUCGUUACUGUUGGCCAAUCGAAGCUCAUUAGUUUCCAGCCCCUUCUGGAUUGUCUGUUGAUACCUAGUCUGCUUGCUACCACCAAAGGUAAUUUACUAUUGAGCCGACAGAUGUAUCAUUUAUGGAAUGCGGUCUCAGCAAACGUGGGAACAUUGCCUUUAAUGUUUUUAUUAUUUAACCUUUGUUUAACUAGGCAAGUCAGUUAAGAACAAAUUAUUAUUUACAAUAACGGCCUACCCCGGCCAAACCCUAACCCGGACGAGGCUGGGCCAAUUGUGUGCCGCCCUAUGGGACUCCCAAUCACGGCCAGUUGUGAUACAGCCUGGAAUCGAACCGCGGUCUGUAGUGACGCCUCUAGACCGCUGCGCCACUCGAGAGCUUAAGAGAGAUCACUUUAAAGUCAUUUGCCUUGUUGCAAAAGUUGACCCAUCACUUUAGAGUGGAUUGCAGUCAAGAAGAUUCAGUUGAAAUUUAGACCGCUGUGCCACUCGGGAGCCCAAAGGGUGCAUAGCCGACAAGGUGCGAUCUGCUAGAAUCCAGGGGGGAAUCCUAUGAAGCAAGCUAGAUCUACUCAGGGUUUUCUAAAGCUAAUCAGCUUCAAUUUAGCUUCGCAUUUCAUAGGCUUCGCCCGUACUAUGACGGUGGAUAUUGCUCCUCCGUCUGCUGCUAACUCUAGCAGGCUUGUAACUACGCGUGCAUGUAUAGCACAUGGUUAGUCGGACGAUAAAACUCUUCAGUGACUUAAUACUGAAACGUCAAUAUAUGGGCGAGUAAGUGCCACAUUUUCAUUUGUGCUGAAAUCAAAAUUAAAUCAUAUUUUUCUUGCAAAUUCAGCAAGCUAUGGCGUGAAAUAGGAUUUUCGAAGUGCCUUCUGUAUUUUAUGAUUGUUAAUGCCGACUUUGGUUUGCUUUGGUGUGCUUAUCAAUGCACAAACACAUUUCCCACCACUCUGGUCGAUAAAAUAAUUGUAUUAAGUCAUACAAAAGUGUUACUGUGCGUGAAGUUUAAAAUGCUUUGUGUCAUUACUAAAUGGGUAAUGUGAUAUAUUUUAACAUUUUUAUUUUUUAACACAGACAUUUUAAUAAAAUAUUUAAUCAGUUGUCUUCCUCAAAUGAAGGAGGGAAUCUGAUUUCAUUGGUCCUCAACUCGUGGCUCAGUCAUUUCAUUCAGGGUAAGUGGCAUUGGCCGUGAGUUGCUCUUCCCUGGAGCAGGUUAUAGUUCUGAUGGAUUCGUUGCAUAUAAAUUUACCAGGCUUAAAAGGUUAUCAGUGGUGUACGGGAGGCCCUGAAGAGCCCGACCUCAGUCGAAUACCUCUCUAUUCUGAUGUAGCAGCUGUCACUUCAGGACCUACAGAGCCUAGUCUAGCUACUCACAACCAUAGCCAUCCAGUAUCCUCUACUAUAUACUACUUUCUUUACUGUUACAGCCAAAUCUUUACAUGUUUCCUAUCAGAACGGCAAGGGCUGGAGGUAAUCGCGCUUCUGAUAUCGUUGAUUUACUUUUAUUUGAAAUCACUAUUGGAGAACCUUGCCUUGCCUUUUUUGUAUUACUAUGGUUUGGUUGAUUUUUCAGUUUUAUUGAUACAACUAUUGAGAAUUGAGAGAAAUUACUUUUCAUCUUCUCUCAGGAUAUGGACAGUGCUUGUUGAGGCUUUAGUGCUCUGAAAUGAAGACGGUAAUUUCCAAGAAGAUUGUGCAGAUGUACUGUAUCAUCGAAUAGGCUUGUUAUUACACAGGUGCAUAGUGUACAGCUUCAUGGCGGAAAUGUAUAGUCGUAUUAUGUCUCUCCUAAUUUUCAAACAAACACUGAUAUACUGAAUCUGAUGAUACUGUAAAUGUCUAAAUCAAAUCUUCAAAGUUACAAGCCUCCCAAUGUUUAACCCCAUGCUUCUAUAAAACCAAAUAAAUCACACUCAGGUUUUCCACUGUGUAUAAAAAUGUCAUGUGAUCGACUAUAUUGCCAUGCUGGAAGAGGAUGGUGCAAUAAAUGUGUCGCUGUUUAUCCCGGGUUCCUUCACGGGAAGUUUAUGGUGUUGUAAUCUCGUUUGUUCCAAGUGUGACAAGAAAGUUGUGUCUGAAAAUAUUUGUUUUGGACCAGGUGGCUCGCGCGAAUUGAAACAUUAUCUGAGGAGCAUUUUGGAGGGGAUAAAAAUAUUUUAUCGUGAUUCUUUAUGGAUAUUUUGUGUAUUUUAUUAUUCAAACAUUUUAGGACGAUACGGUUACAGAUAUAACCAUAGUAUAUUAUUUCUAAAGCUUUUCGCUUGAAGCCAAUAACAUGUUAAUUUUGUUGGUGCGAGUUUUCAUUUUUUCCUUGUUCAUUUAAACAUUUGUGUAAUUAAAAUAUUGUGCAAUGGAAUUGUGUC